Molecule: ribosomal RNA, 258 nt
Filed under: uncultured bacterium
Lineage: Bacteria
Description: partial 16S ribosomal RNA
Rfam family: Bacterial small subunit ribosomal RNA
Source: RNAcentral
CCUACGGGGCGCAGCAGUGGGGAAUAUUGCACAAUGGGGGAAACCCUGAUGCAGCAACGCCGCGUGAGUGAUGACGGCCUUCGGGUUGUAAAGCUCUGUCUUCAGGGACGCUAAUGACGGUACCUGAGGAGGAAGCCAAGGCUAACUACGUGACAGCAGCCGCGGUAAUACGUAAGGGGCGAGCGUUGUCCGGAUUUACUGGGCGUAAAGGGAGCGUAGGCGGAUUUUUGAGUGAGAUGUGAAAUACUCGGGCUCGAC